UCCUGACCUUCGCCGGCGGUGUGGGCCGGGCCGGGCGGCCGAGUGCGGGGCCGGUGUAGCGCGGCAGGGAUCAUGUCGGCCCCGACCAUGGAGGAGAGGAAAGCGUGCUGGGCGGCACGCGACGAGUUCUGGCGGUGCCUGGACGGGCACACGGAGGACGCGCCGCGGUGCGAGAAGCUGAGGAGGUCUUUCGAGUCCUUGUGUCCGCAGCAGUGGGUUAAAUACUUUGACAAAAGAAGGGAUUUUUUAAAAUACAAAGAAAAGCUGGAAUCUGAAGGGUUUCAACCUCCAGAAACUGCUGGAAAGUCUUAGGUACUGCGCUUAUUCAAGUGCAUCUACAUAGCACAAGAUCUGUGGCAGGAAGGAGCAGCCAAAAGCAACACUUCCUCUGGAGUUCAAGAACUGAUCAGCAGAGCUCCACUUACAUGAACGUUGAGUGACCGAAUAAUGCCCUGCUGAGGAAUUUCCACACAGACAUCCAGGUGGUGAAUCAGGUUUGCUGGGAUUCCUUCAUGUUCAUUCCUAGUGAAGAAGAAACAGUGAUUAUGUCUGGGAGAAGACAGGUGUUCCAGAAAGCAGAAGAUGUGAGAGUCACAAUAGCAAUGAAAUACUGUUUGAAAAAUUGUCAGCCCUUAAAUAUGAGCACAAGUUGUUACUUUCUGUAAAGCAAUAAUGUAUUGCUGAAACAAAAAUAAAACUGAAUGGACAACAUGAA
This is an RNA transcript of Centrocercus urophasianus (Greater sage-grouse), 715 nucleotides long. It is a transcript of the gene named cytochrome c oxidase assembly factor 6 homolog, with no coding region annotated. The transcript is spliced from 3 exons. The record is from RefSeq and is a predicted model, not a curated record. NCBI's taxonomy places the organism in Eukaryota, Metazoa, Chordata, Aves, Galliformes, Phasianidae.